UUCCAGACUCCUACGGGAGGCAGCAGUGAGGAAUAUUGGUCAAUGGGCUUACGCCUGAACCAGCCAAGUCGCGUGAGGGAAGACUGCCCUAUGGGUUGUAAACCUCUUUUGUCAGGGAGCAAGGUGCAGGUCGGGACCCGCUGUGAGAGUACCUGAAGAAAAAGCAUCGGCUAACUCCGUGCCAGCAGCCGCGGUAAUACGGAGGAUGCGAGCGUUAUCCGGAUUUAUUGGGUUUAAAGGGUGCGCAGGCGGAGGCACAAGUCAGCGGUAAAAUCGCGGGGCUCAACCCCGCUCCGCCGUUGAAACUGUGUCCCUUGAGUGCGCGAAGGGUAGGCGGAAUGCGUGGUGUAGCGGUGAAAUGCAUAGAUAUCACGCAGAACUCCGAUUGCGAAGGCAGCGUACCGGCGCCCAACUGACGCUCAUGCACGAAAGCGUGGGUAUCGAACAGGAUUAGAUACCCUCGUA
Molecule: ribosomal RNA, 465 nt
Filed under: uncultured bacterium
Lineage: Bacteria
Description: bacterial SSU rRNA
Rfam family: Bacterial small subunit ribosomal RNA
Source: RNAcentral